Molecule: long non-coding RNA, 1571 nt
Filed under: Homo sapiens (human)
Lineage: Eukaryota; Metazoa; Chordata; Mammalia; Primates; Hominidae
Description: HSALNT0308539
Source: RNAcentral
CUUUUCCCUUUCUGCCCUCUGCCAUGUGAGGUCACAGUGUUCCUCCCUCCUGAGGAUGCAGUGUUCAUGAAAGCAAACACUGGGCCCUCACCAGGCAACAAACCUGCUGGUGCCUUCAUCUUGGACUUCCCAGCCUUCGGAACUGUUAAGAAGCUCCACUGCGCUUUGUCCAUUGCAAGUUGAGAAGUGAGGCCCCAGCUGUCACAUACAGUGAGUGAAGAAGCUGAGCUUCCCUCAACGCCUGGGCCUGUAUGAAUUUUUUUUUUUUUUUUUUUUUUGGAGACGGAGUCUCACUUUGUUGCCCAGGCUGGAGUGCAAUGGCACUAUCUCAGGCCACUGCAACCUCUGCCUCCCAGGUUCAAGCGAUUCUUCUGCCUCAGCCUCCUGAGUAGCUGGGAUUACAGAAGUGCACCAUUACAGCUUGCUAAUUUUUGUAUUUUUAGUAGAGAAGGGUUUUCACCAUGUUGGCCAGGUUGGUCUCGAACUCUUGGCCUCAGGUGAUCCGCCCGCACAGCCUCCCAAAGUGUUGGGAUUACAGGCGUGAGCCACUGCGCCCGGCCUUAGGUAAGUUCCUUUUUUUUUUUUUUUGAGACGGAGUUUCACUCUGUUGCCCAGGCUGGGGUGCAAUGGCAUGAUCUCGGCUCACCGCAACCUCUGCCUCCUGGGUUCAAGCAAUUCUCCUGCCUCAGCCUCCUGAGGAGCUGGGAUUACAGGCAUGCACCAUCAUGCCCGGCUAAUUUUGUAUUUUUAGUAGAGACGGGGUUUCUCCAUGUUGAGGCUGGUCUCAAACUCCUGACCUCAGGUGAUUCACCCGCCUCGGCCUCCCAAACUGCUGGGAUUAUAGGCAUAAGCCACCGCGCCCGGCCUUAGGCUCCAUCACAAGAGGGAGCCCCAUUGCUAGUCCCCAUCCUCAAAGCCUCUGCGUGAUGUUGUCUACUGUUACUCUUCACUACCCUGUGGGAGCCAAAGCCCUGGACAUAAGAACAGAAGGCAAUGGUGGCUGAGAGGAAGAACUGACACCUUUGUGCUAUCAGAGCACUUUGCAGAGGAGCUGUUAGUGGCCCUGUAGGAGUCUGCUGGCCAUACAUCUGGGUGUCAAAUCAAGAGAGCAUGAGAAGUUGGACAGGAAAGGUCCAAGGCAAAAUGGUUACUAAAGGCCAUCCCUGAUCCUGACCCUAAAAGAAGAAAAGGCCCUUUGCUCUUGGCAUGCUUUUGCAGGAGUGUCUCAGUCUGUUUGGGCUGCUAUAACAUUGACUGGGUGAUCUGCCUGCCUGGCCUCCCAAAGUGCUGGGGUUACAGGUGUGAGCCGCUGCACCAGGCCUUGAGGUCAGGAGUUCGAGACCAGCCUGGCCAACAUGGUGAAACCUGUCUUUACUAAAAAUACAGAAAUUAGCCAGGCAUGGAGGCGCAUGCCUGUAAUCCCAGCUACUGGGGAGGCUGAGGCAGGAGAAUCGCUUGAACCCAGAAGGUGGAGGUUGCGGUGAGCCCAGAUAGUGCCAUUGCACUCUAGCCUGGCCAACAAGAGUGAAACUCUGUCUCAAAAAAUAAAUAAACAAACAAACAAACAACAA